RNAcentral lists this ribosomal RNA (1281 nucleotides) under Cryptolestes turcicus. RNAcentral's name for it is "16S ribosomal RNA". The stretch from base 1040 to 1199 matches the Rfam family "Archaeal large subunit ribosomal RNA", at positions 2542 to 2701 of the family's 2987-position model. The record is from RNAcentral. Lineage: Eukaryota; Metazoa; Arthropoda; Insecta; Coleoptera; Laemophloeidae.
AUUAAUUAAUUUAUUGAUAUAAUAGUUUUAGAAUUUUUAAAAUAAAAAAAUUAAUUUUUAUUAUAAAAUUAGAAAAAUUUAUUUUUAUUAUAGUUUAUUAGUAUUGAGAAAGAAAAUUAUUAAAUAUUUAAAGAAAAAUUUAGUUUUUGUACCUUGUGUAUCAGGGUUGAUUAAAUAUUAAUUAAUUAUUUAAAUUUCUCGAAUUUAAAAGAGCUAUUUUUAUAUAAUUUUAUUGUUAAAUAAAUAUUUUGAAUAUAAAAAUAGUAAUGAAAUGUUAUUCGUUUUUAAAUAUAUCUAGUUUCUUAAGAAAAAAAUUAAAUUUUAAUUUUAUGAAUAUAUUUAUUUAUUUUUUAUUUUUAUAUUAAUAAAAUAAAAUAAUUUUAGGGAUGAGCUUAAAAUUAUAAAUUUAUAAAAUCUUAAUUUUUAUUAAAUUUGUAGGAUUAAUAAUUUUUAUCAUUAAAAAUUUGUUAUAAUUGAUUUAAUUUUUUAAAUUUUUUUUAUUAUUUUUAAAUAAUUUAUUAAGAUAAUUAUUUUAAUAUUUAAAAUAAUGGAAUUAUGAUUAAAUUAGUAAAAAUUUUUUUAAAAUUAUAAAGAUUUGGUUAGAUAUAAAAAAGGAAUUCGACAAAUAUAUUUUUUACCUGUUUAUUAAAAACAUGUCCUAUUGAUUUAUAAUUUUAGGUCUUGCCUGCCCCCUGAAAUAUUUUAAAUGGCCGCGGUAUUUUGACCGUGCAAAGGUAGCAUAAUCAUUAGUUUUUUAAUUGAAAGCUUGUAUGAAUGGUUGGAUAAAAAAAUUAUUGUCUCUUUUAUAAUAUUUGAAUUUUAUUUUUAAGUUAAAAAGCUUAAAUAAUUUUAAAAGACGAGAAGACCCUAUAGAGUUUAAUUUUAAUUUUUUAAAUAUAUUUUAGAAUUUAUUAUUUAUUUAUAAAAUUAGAAUUUAAUUGGGGUGAUUAAAAAAUUAAAUUAACUUUUUUUUAUUUAUAACAGUAAUAAUUGAGUUUUUGAUCCAUUAAUAAUGAUUAUAAGAUAAAAUUACCUUAGGGAUAACAGCGUAAUUUUUUUUAAGAGUUCAUAUUGAAAAAAAAGAUUGCGACCUCGAUGUUGGAUUAAAAUUAAUUUUUGGUGCAGAAGCUAAAACUAUUAAGUCUGUUCGACUUUUAAAAUUUUACAUGAUCUGAGUUUAAACCGGCGUGAGCCAGGUUGGUUUCUAUCUUUAAUUAAUAGAAAUAUUUUAGUACGAAAGGACCAAAUAUUUAAUUUAAAAGUUUAAUUUUGAUUAUUAUU